Molecule: transfer RNA, 73 nt
Filed under: Pan troglodytes (chimpanzee)
Lineage: Eukaryota; Metazoa; Chordata; Mammalia; Primates; Hominidae
Description: tRNA-Tyr (GTA) (tRNA-Tyr-GTA-5-1)
Rfam family: tRNA
About the family: Transfer RNA (tRNA) molecules are approximately 80 nucleotides in length. Their secondary structure includes four short double-helical elements and three loops (D, anti-codon, and T loops). Further hydrogen bonds mediate the characteristic L-shaped molecular structure. tRNAs have two regions of fundamental functional importance: the anti-codon, which is responsible for specific mRNA codon recognition, and the 3' end, to which the tRNAs corresponding amino acid is attached (by aminoacyl-tRNA synthetases). tRNAs cope with the degeneracy of the genetic code in two manners: having more than one tRNA (with a specific anti-codon) for a particular amino acid; and 'wobble' base-pairing, i.e. permitting non-standard base-pairing at the 3rd anti-codon position.
Source: RNAcentral
CCUUCGAUAGCUCAGUUGGUAGAGUGGAGGACUGUAGAUCCUUAGGUCGCUGCUUCGAAUCCGGCUUGAAGGA